UCUCUAUGUUAUAUUGCUUUCAAACUAUGUUCUAUUUUCUCUGAUUGCUUCUCCAUAAUUUUCUUCGAUGGGUUCCAAUCAAAAUUUGUUUUCUCCUUUUAGUUGAUAUAUAUUGAAAAAUGUUGCAUAGGCAUGCAUAAUUGAAUAUGUAUUUGAGAGUUUUCUUCUUUCAAAUUUCUCAAUUUCAGAUCUAAAAAAAUCUUGAUGGUGUGCUUUAUGUGAUUUAGUUCUGGUUCUGGUGAGUUUUUCUCUAUUUUAGUUUUUUCCUUUACAUGCAAUUAUUAUGAUGGAAUUUUAGUAAGUAUCUAGUUGUUUCUCUGAAUUGCUUUUUGUUGGAUUUCACAUGCAGGCAGGCAGAGACGGAUUCAGAAUUCGGAGUCUCAGGGUGUCAAGUACACUCAUAGAUUUAAUUAAUCUUAGACUCCAAAUUCUGAAUUCGCCUCCUAGGGCAGAACCAACUUGUGGCCAAAGUAUUCAUCUUAAUCUCCUUCAUCAGAAAACUGUAUUAUUUAUAUAUAGUUAAAAGAAACUCUUUGAUAUAUAUAGUAGAUGUUGAAACUCCUUCGACUAGUUCGCGCAUUUUUUUCUUUAGAUUUUAAACCUCACUCAUAAAAAUUUUGGCUCUGUCACUCUCUUAACAGGAGUGGUUAAGAUUUUAAACCUCACUCAUAAAAAUUUUGGCUCUGUCACUCUCUUAACAGGAGUGGUUAAAAGAAGGAAUGCUUUAGCAUUUUAUCUAUUUAUUUUUUAAAAAAAAUAUUAAAAAAUUAUGACUUUCGCAAUUUGGCCUCAAUUUUGUGUGCAAAUUUUUAUUAUAACAAUUAAGAAUUAAAAUCCAUUAUAUAUUCAAAAUUUACAAUUUGGUAUUUUGAAAUAGAGUCAAAACUCAGACAUUAAAGUGACAAUAUAAUUACUCUUUUUUUAAAAUAAAAUAAAAUAGCAAACUUAGUAACAUAUAAAGAAUUUAAACUCUCUCCAUUCUUCGCCCUAAAUUUGCUAUUUCAGUCAAAAAUAAAUUAGUUAAUAUAAGUCAACAAUAAUUAAAAACAUCUCUAGUGAAGAGGAAAAAAAAAAAAUUUCAAUUAUAAUAUAGGCUAUUAUUAUAGAUCAACUUAAUUUAAAUAUUUAAAUAUUAUUUAUGUUGAAAGAACAAGUCAAAUAAAGAGUUCUAAUUAUACUUAAGUUAACGGUAUUGAUGCCAGCAGGAUUCGAAUCUGCAUCCUCUGAUGCGGAAUAUAAGCCCCUUUACCAAUGGUGCUAUGGAACACUUUGACAUUCAGGGUGGCGCUACUAUUAUAUAUGUACAUUCUAUAUAUAUAUACCUAUACAUAUAUAGAGUUUACGUUGAAACUUACGGGUGGCGUGGCACCCUCACAGGCCUUAAUAGAUCCGCCUCUGCAGGGUUGCCAAUUGACAUGCAUGUUCUUUGCGAAAAGCUCAUGAAAAAGCUAAUAGGAAGGGUCAGGUGUAGGUAAAAGAGAAUGUAAGCAUCCAUCUUGGACGAUCAUGUUCUCUCAGCAAUUGUCAGCAAGGUUCAUUAGAUAUGUACCGCAGUCGCCACACUUUAAGAAAGAAUACAAUGAAAUAGACAAGAUCAUUCUACAAGGUAAUAAAUUAUCGAAAGAAUUCUUAAAAUAAAUACAGAACAAUAUAUCCAACAAAUUAGAUACAACUCAUUUAAUUUGGAAUGGUUGUCUCUUUUGAGUUAAUUGCAAAUUAAAUGUUUUAGAUCAUAUAAAAUUUGAAACGUUACUUUGAUUAUAGGUGUGUUGUGCUUACUUUGCUUGUUCGGCUCAUUAGGUAUGGUGUUUCAAUAAUGGUUAUGGUAAUGACUACGUCAAUUUCUAGCAGGAAAAAAGAGUUAUGUGCUUACUGACUUAUUCUAGAGGUUUAAAGGUACUUCAAAGCAAACUAAACAAUCUUGGGAAAAUGGUUAGCUAGCACCUAUGCUCAGUUUUUGAAGAUUUAAUUGUUUACUUUGAUUAAUUAAAUAACAGGAACUAUUAAUCAUUCAUUGCUGAAUGUUUGACUGAAAAUUGUUGUGUGCGCUUGAGGUAGUUGAGACUUGAACUUAGCCAAAGUGAACGAGUGUUAAAU
Capsicum annuum is the source of this 2097-nucleotide long non-coding RNA. RefSeq lists it as uncharacterized. Lineage: Eukaryota; Viridiplantae; Streptophyta; Magnoliopsida; Solanales; Solanaceae. The transcript is spliced from 3 exons. The record is from RefSeq and is a predicted model, not a curated record.